UGCUUCUCUCUUGUGCUACUGUUAGGCCAUGGCCACUGCUCUCUUUCAGCUUCCCUCUGCCAUUAAUGGCGGUUUCUUUCACAGGAGAGAUUUUCCCCAGUUGGGUACUUCAAAAUGGGGAAAUUACCACUCUGCAACUCCUCCUACUUCGAUUUUUCCGAAGAAAUUGUCUCCAACGAGAUGCCAGUCAACCAGUACUGAAGAACCAAAGACAAAAAGAAAUCUACUUGACAAUGCAAGCAACCUUCUUACUAAUUUAUUAAGUGGGGGGAACAUUGGAUCAAUGCCGAUUGCUGAAGGCGCCGUCUCUGAUCUGUUUGACCAGCCUCUUUUUUUUUCACUCUAUGAUUGGUUCUUAGAGCAUGGUUCAGUUUAUAAACUUGCAUUUGGACCAAAGUCAUUUAUUGUUGUCUCAGACCCCAUUGUAGCGAGACACAUCCUGCGUGAAAAUGCAUUUUCUUAUGAUAAGGGAGUUCUUGCUGAUAUCUUAGAACCAAUAAUGGGCAAGGGGCUUAUACCCGCAGAUCUUGACACUUGGAAGCUGAGAAGAAGAGUUAUUGCUCCUGGAUUUCAUUCUUUAUUCUUGGAAGCUAUGGUGAAAAUAUUUACCAAUUGUUCAGAGAGAACAAUUUCUAAAUUUGAAAAGUUUUUUGAAAAGGAAAGCCCAUCUGAAGAUAAAACAGUCGAGUUGGACCUUGAAGCAGAGUUUUCAAGUUUGGCACUUGAUAUUAUUGGGCUUGGUGUAUUCAACUAUGACUUUGGUUCUGUCACUAAAGAAUCUCCUGUGAUUAAGGCGGUAUAUGGAACUCUCUUUGAAGCUGAACAUAGAUCGACUUUCUAUAUUCCUUACUGGAAACUUCCCUUUGCGAGAUGGGUAGUUCCUAGGCAGCGGAAGUUCCACAGUGACCUCAAAGUUAUUAAUGACUGCCUUGAUGGACUCAUAAGAAAUGCCAAAGAGACAAGGCAGGAAACUGAUGUCGAGAAACUUCAACAAAGAGAUUAUGAAAAUCUAAAGGAUGCAAGUUUAUUGCGGUUUCUAGUCGAUAUGCGGGGUGCUGAUGCUGAUGACCGUCAGCUUAGGGAUGACUUGAUGACUAUGCUUAUUGCUGGACAUGAAACAACUGCAGCUGUUCUAACAUGGGCCAUUUUUCUACUCGCCCAAAAUCCAUCUAAAAUGAGAAAAGCUCAAGCAGAGAUUGAUUCUGUACUUGGUCAGGGGAGGACAACGUUCGAAUGUCUCAAGAAAUUGGAGUACAUUCGGCUUAUUGUCGUUGAAGCCCUUCGUCUAUAUCCUCAGCCCCCACUACUCAUUAGACGUACUCUUAAGCCGGAUAGAUUGCCAGGAGGAUACAAUGGCAGUGAAGAUGGAUAUGCAAUUCCUGCGGGCACUGACAUCUUUAUUUCUGUAUACAACCUUCACAGAUCUCCAUAUUUUUGGGACCGUCCUCAUGAAUUUGAACCAGAGAGGUUCUUAGUGUCCAAAGAAAGUGAUGGAAUCAAAGGAUGGUCCGGUUUUGAUCCAUCCCGAAGUCCUGGGGCAAUGUACCCAAACGAGAUUAUCUCGGAUUUUGCUUUUCUACCAUUUGGUGGGGGCCCACGUAAGUGUGUGGGGGACCAAUUUGCUCUAAUGGAAUCAACUGUGGCAUUGGCCAUGUUACUACAAAAGUUCGAUGUGGAGUUGAAGGGGUCUCCGGAUUCAGUGGAACUUGUUACAGGAGCAACGAUCCAUACAAAAAAUGGUCUAUGGUGCAAACUAAGAAAACGGCCUUCACCAAACUAAAAAAGAGGCACGGUCCAUCUAUGAUCAGUCCAAUCAAAUGAACGGUCUGGGUCAGCAGAGCAUGGGCCCCAGCUGUACGUAUUCAUGUCUAGAGGACAUGCAUAUCCUAGCUUAUGGUGUACUCAAGACCUUCAGAUUUAUGCAAGGUAUCAAGGAUCUUCAAGGUGAUUACAGCUGCGUAUAUCAUAAACAGGUGGACUUAGCUGAACGGUCUUACCGACCACUGAUGCUAAAGAAUCCUUCAAUUGAAAGGUAUGUGAGAGGAAGAUUUUCACUCGAAAAAAAAAAUGUGGUCUUUUCCUUGGGAGAUUCAAUCUAAUCAUUUUGGGUCUCUAAACAAUAAGUUAUACUCUUUAAAUGCAAUCUUUGGGAGGGUAUGUGAAUUGUCAUAUUAAUUCUUUUUUGGUAGACUAUUUUCAAAAUGGUUGCAUCCUACAUGACUUGGUCAUGGACAUUCGACAAUGUAGAACACUGUCACAAGGUGUUAGAUGUGGGACCUUGGAAAACCUGACAUGUCAACAUGUCCAUAUAGAUGUGUACCAAUGUUUUAAAUAGCGUGCAGUGUAUAUACUGUUCAGUUUAGCCCUCUA
Magnolia sinica is the source of this 2370-nucleotide RNA transcript. It is a transcript of the gene named cytochrome P450 97B2, chloroplastic, with no coding region annotated. NCBI's taxonomy places the organism in Eukaryota, Viridiplantae, Streptophyta, Magnoliopsida, Magnoliales, Magnoliaceae. The record is from RefSeq and is a predicted model, not a curated record. The transcript is spliced from 16 exons.